GACGAACGCUGGCGGCGUGCUUAACACAUGCAAGUCGAACGGAAAGGCCCUGCUUUGGUGGGGUGCUCGAGUGGCGAACGGGUGAGUAACACGUGAGUAACCUGCCCUUGACUUUGGGAUAACUUCAGGAAACUGGGGCUAAUACCGGAUAGGAGCUCCUGCUGCAGGGUGGGGGUUGGAAAGUUUCGGCGGUGGGGGAUGGACUCGCGGAUUAUCAGCUUGUUGGUGGGGUAGUGGCUUACCAAGGCGUUGACGGGUAGCCGGCCUGAGAGGGUGACCGGCCACAUUGGGACUGAGAUACGGCCCAGACUCCUACGGGAGGCAGCAGUGGGGAAUAUUGCACAAUGGGCGGAAGCCUGAUGCAGCAACGCCGCGUGCGGGAUGACGGCCUUCGGGUUGUAAACCGCUUUCGCCUGUGACGAAGCGUGAGUGACGGUAAUGGGUAAAGAAGCACCGGCUAACUACGUG
This 468-nucleotide ribosomal RNA is filed under the name uncultured bacterium. RNAcentral's name for it is "partial 16S ribosomal RNA". It matches the Rfam family "Bacterial small subunit ribosomal RNA", at positions 28 to 507 of the family's 1533-position model. The record is from RNAcentral.